GAAGAAAGAAGGAAACGAAGAAUAGAGGGAGAGGGUGAGGGAACAGAGGAAGAAGAGAGGAAGAAGGAUCGUUGCGUCGUGCUGCUCCUUGCGCCGGUUGCCGUCGCUGUCGCCAGAGCCAGAGGACAGAGAGAGAACGCUCGCAAGGGAGAGGACAAACGCGAGGAGAAGGAGAGCUCGUGCGCGAAGGACAGCACCGCCACUCCGUCACCGUGCAGCUGUUGCUGCCACCCCGUCACCAUCGUUGUCGCGGCGGGAAGCAUAAAGUUCGAACAGAAGGGGAGAAACCACGAGUGAAGGGUGACGCUGGGCCUCUGUCGCUGCUGCUAUCACCAAGCGUCGCUGUCGUUGCCGCCGAAGGCCAAGGCCCUAUCGUUGUCAU
RNAcentral lists this long non-coding RNA (382 nucleotides) under Arachis ipaensis. Its description in RNAcentral is "long non-coding RNA (AIPA_LNC001546)". The record is from RNAcentral. Lineage: Eukaryota; Viridiplantae; Streptophyta; Magnoliopsida; Fabales; Fabaceae.